CGUCUGGCGCCAGCCGCGGCCCGGGAAAUCUACGUCGCCGGAAAAGCGGCUGCAAACGCUCGCGUGUCGGGUGCGCCAGUCUCGCAGCGUAGGGCACUGGUUCUCCCACGCCUGAGACCGACGUCGCCAGGACUGUGGGGUCGGGGAGACUCGGCUGGAAACGUCUUCCAAAUAAAGUUGUUUGUCUAA
This is a non-coding RNA of Saimiri boliviensis boliviensis (Bolivian squirrel monkey), 189 nucleotides long. Lineage: Eukaryota; Metazoa; Chordata; Mammalia; Primates; Cebidae. The record is from RefSeq and is a predicted model, not a curated record.